Molecule: ribosomal RNA, 717 nt
Filed under: uncultured Actinomycetes bacterium
Lineage: Bacteria; Bacillati; Actinomycetota; Actinomycetes
Description: bacterial SSU rRNA
Rfam family: Bacterial small subunit ribosomal RNA
Source: RNAcentral
GACGAACGCUGGCGGCGUGCUUAACACAUGCAAGUCGAACGAUGAAGCCCUUCGGGGUGGAUUAGUGGCGAACGGGUGAGUAACACGUGGGCAAUCUGCCCUUCACUCUGGGACAAGCCCUGGAAACGGGGUCUAAUACCGGAUAACACUCUGUCCCGCAUGGGACGGGGUUGAAAGCUCCGGCGGUGAAGGAUGAGCCCGCGGCCUAUCAGCUUGUUGGUGGGGUGAUGGCCUACCAAGGCGACGACGGGUAGCCGGCCUGAGAGGGCGACCGGCCACACUGGGACUGAGACACGGCCCAGACUCCUACGGGAGGCAGCAGUGGGGAAUAUUGCACAAUGGGCGAAAGCCUGAUGCAGCGACGCCGCGUGAGGGAUGACGGCCUUCGGGUUGUAAACCUCUUUCAGCAGGGAAGAAGCGAGAGUGACGGUACCUGCAGAAGAAGCGCCGGCUAACUACGUGCCAGCAGCCGCGGUAAUACGUAGGGCGCAAGCGUUGUCCGGAAUUAUUGGGCGUAAAGAGCUCGUAGGCGGCUUGUUGCGUCGGUUGUGAAAGCCCGGGGCUUAACCCCGGGUCUGCAGUCGAUACGGGCAGGCUAGAGUGUGGUAGGGGAGAUCGGAAUUCCUGGUGUAGCGGUGAAAUGCGCAGAUAUCAGGAGGAACACCGGUGGCGAAGGCGGAUCUCUGGGCCAUAACUGACGCUGAGGAGCGAAAGCGU